RNAcentral lists this ribosomal RNA (459 nucleotides) under uncultured bacterium. RNAcentral's name for it is "partial 16S ribosomal RNA". It matches the Rfam family "Bacterial small subunit ribosomal RNA", at positions 338 to 795 of the family's 1533-position model. The record is from RNAcentral.
CCUACGGGAGGCUGCAGUGAGGAAUAUUGGUCAAUGGGCGCGAGCCUGAACCAGCCAAGUCGCGUGAGGGAAGACGGUCCUAUGGAUUGUAAACCUCUUUUGUCGGGGAGCAAAAGACGCCACGCGUGGCGUUCCGAGAGUACCCGAAGAAAAAGCAUCGGCAAACUCCGUGCAAGCAGCCGCGGUAAUACGGAGGAUGCGAGCGUUAUCCGGAUUUAUGGGGUUAAAAGGGUGCGCAGGCGGAAGAUCAAGUCAGCGGGAAAAUUGCGGGGCUCAACCUCGUCGAGCCGUUGAAACUGGUUUUCUUGAGUGAGCGAGAAGUAUGCGGAAUGCGUGGUGUAGCGGUGAAAUGCAUAGAUAUCACGAAGAACUCCGAUUGCGAAGGCAGAAUACCGGCGCUCAACUGACGCUCAGGCACGAAAGUGUGGGUAUCGAACAGGAUUAGAUACCCCUGUAGUC